RNAcentral lists this ribosomal RNA (293 nucleotides) under uncultured bacterium. Its description in RNAcentral is "partial 16S ribosomal RNA". It matches the Rfam family "Bacterial small subunit ribosomal RNA", at positions 28 to 301 of the family's 1533-position model. The record is from RNAcentral.
GACGAACGCUGGCGGCGUGCCUAAUACAUGCAAGUCGAACGCUCUUUUCUUAUCGAACUUCGGUUCACCAAGAAAAGGGAGUGGCGAACGGGUGAGUAACACGUGGGUAACCUACCCAUAAGAGGGGGAUAACAUCCGGAAACGGGUGCUAAUACCGCAUAGUUUUCUUGAUCGCAUGAUUGAGAAAGGAAGACGGCCUUUGUGCUGUCGCUUAUGGAUGGACCCGCGGCGUAUUAGUUAGUUGGUGAGGUAACGGCUCACCAAGACGAUGAUACGUAGCCGACUGAGAGGGU